ACGAACGCUGGCGGCGUGCUUAACACAUGCAAGUCGAACGGAAAGGCCCCCUUGUGGGGUACUCGAGUGGCGAACGGGUGAGUAACACGUGAGUAACCUACCCUUGACUUUGGGAUAACUUCAGGAAACUGGGGCUAAUACCGGAUAGGAGCUCCUGCUGCAUGGUGGGGGUUGGAAAGUUUCGGCGGUUGGGGAUGGACUCGCGGCUUAUCAGCUUGUUGGUGGGGUAGUGGCUCACCAAGGCUUUGACGGGUAGCCGGCCUGAGAGGGUGACCGGCCACAUUGGGACUGAGAUACGGCCCAGACUCCUACGGGAGGCAGCAGUGGGGAAUAUUGCACAAUGGGCGGAAGCCUGAUGCAGCAACGCCGCGUGCGGGAUGACGGCCUUCGGGUUGUAAACCGCUUUCGCCUGUGACGAAGCGUGAGUGACGGUAAUGGGUAAAGAAGCACCGGCUAACUACGUG
This 464-nucleotide ribosomal RNA is filed under the name uncultured bacterium. RNAcentral describes it as "partial 16S ribosomal RNA". It matches the Rfam family "Bacterial small subunit ribosomal RNA", at positions 29 to 507 of the family's 1533-position model. The record is from RNAcentral.